UUCAUCGACAAUUUAUAUACCUGCCUCUACCUCUUCGGGGCGUAACGUGCCGCAACGUCAAUCCACGGCAAAUAAAAAAAUUUCCAACGGGAGAAAAAAAAAAAAAAAAAUUAAAAAAAAAAAAGGGAAAUAAAAAAAAACGUUUGCUCAACUAGCUGUGUGCACACGAAAAAAAACAUCUGUUCAAUUGAACGCGACUUACAUACAUGACCGGAAACUAUGACGUAUAAGUCGUAUACCAGCAGCUAUAGGAUAAGAAAGACACCUUUAUGUGGGGAUGAAUACCGGUCUUCAUAUAUUCACCGAACGACAGAGAGAAAAGUUUUAUAAAUUAUUUCGCCACAAUCUUUCAUUGUCAACACUUGUCCACAUGAAGCUGUAAAUUCUUGUUCCAACUAGUUUCGUUUGAUUGUAACGAGAUCUAAUAAAUUCCUAUACAUCGAU
This is a long non-coding RNA of Athalia rosae (coleseed sawfly), 444 nucleotides long. RefSeq lists it as uncharacterized. The record is from RefSeq and is a predicted model, not a curated record. The transcript has 2 exons. Lineage: Eukaryota; Metazoa; Arthropoda; Insecta; Hymenoptera; Athaliidae.